RNAcentral lists this ribosomal RNA (4167 nucleotides) under Triticum aestivum (bread wheat). RNAcentral describes it as "partial small subunit ribosomal RNA". The record is from RNAcentral. Lineage: Eukaryota; Viridiplantae; Streptophyta; Magnoliopsida; Poales; Poaceae.
AUGGCGACUACGGUGGACAGUGGCCGUGGCGCCGUGUCAGACAUGACAAGCAUGGAGUCGGGGACGAGCGACCCCGUCGGCGGCACGACGAGCGACACCGUCGGCGAACUAGUUGCGGUGCUCGCGCAAAGACAGUCGACAGAGGAGGAGAAUGCAGUGCCCACGCCAUGGGCCCACUCGGUUGCGCUCGGCUCGGCCUGGCUCACGAGAAACUGCCGAUUCCUGGGUUUCCAGCGAGCCAUGCUCUGGGCUGCUUUAAGAAGCAUGCGAUGCAGGCCCAACAGUGAAACCAGGCAACCAAACGGGCCUCUUGCUUCCCGCGCGGGCCUGGUUGGGCUUUACCCAGGCAACCAAACACGCCCCUAUGGGGCUUGCGGGCGUUCGGACACGAGCCACACAGGACUCCGAAAACCCAGGCCCACCCAAAACUACGACGGCGCCCACGUUUUUGCAGCUGGCCGCACUGUUUUCGCGGCAAAAUCCCCCACUCUCUUCUUCCAUCCUGCCACACUCCACUCAAAUUCUUGCCCUUUUUCGUCCACUCUCUUAUUCCUUCCCACCGCUAACGCAUGGACCCGCAUGAGACCCUGCCGGAGACGGAGGUGGUGGAGGAUCCGGGGAUCGCGCUUGUCCGGAAGAUCAAUUCGGCGUCACGGUGAAAUCGCCGCGUCAAAGCGAAGGCCGCAAAGGCGGCAACGCUCAAGAAGUAGAAGGCCGCGCGGAGGCAUAUGUGGUGGUCGUGGUGGCGGACAUGGUGGAGGUCGAGGCCUGGGCCUCGGGGACCCUCCAUCCUCGCCGACCGUGCAGACAACGCCAUGGCCGGACCAUUACAAGGCCCGUACUACUAUGCCACCAAGCAUCUGGGAGGCAGCCCUCGGCAUCCACUGCCAGGCAACUGCCCUUCAUCGUCGACGUCAACCCGGUGCCGCUGUUUUUGUCGAAGUGUUCGUCACCGUAGCUUGUCAAGACUCGUGCGUCGGGCGUGGAGGAGCUAGGUGCCCGCACGCUGUUCGCUGGGUACCACCUGGAAAGCCCAUAUGGUGGUGGGGGUCUCGUAUAUGUCGAUCCGAUCUAGACCGAAUUGGACUUAAUGAGUUUAGGAUAUCGAACUUCCAGGCUUACAAUCUUGCUAAGCAUAUUUUAACUCGCGGGUUUGGCAUGCAUACAAUUCAGAUUCAGCACGGGGUGGGGGCUAGAGGCGAGUGCAUGGAACGGUGGCUCAGCCGGCGGGAAGGAGUGAGUGGGACAUAUGAGCUGGUUGUUUCUUCCUCCGGGCUCCUGAUGGGAUGGCCCAGCCCCAACAACGGGAUGACUCGAAGCGAACCGGACACCGAGCCAAGCACGUCCGAGGAAGCGCGCCAGGAGCACGAUCCAUGCGCCGACACCAGUCGCCGCACCGCAACCCCCCUCCGCGCCACCGCGUACCGCACUUCGGUGUUGCCACCAUCCACGGGCAGUGACGCGGCCGGCGGCCAGUUGCGCGCAGCCCCCUCCCACGAUCUGCCACCGUGCGAGGAGGGCCCUGCACCAGCGCCAAUGCCGCAAGAACAGGAUGUCUCGUCCUCCCUGAAGGACUUGCUCAACACCGCGACACUGGACGGAUCGCCCCCUCCGCGCUACCCUGUGUUGCACUUUGACAUGCCCACCAUCGACGGGCGAGAGAUGGUUUCCGUCGAUUCGAGCGGGAUUGCCCGUUCCUGUGUGGAGGAAGGCCCGGUGAUCUUUGUGGACCAAGUGGAUGGGAAGAACCACAUCGCGAGGGACCGCCGUCUUCCCGGCGAACCGUUUGAAAGCGUCACUCAACUCAUCCAAUCAGCCGGUCUCCAGUUGCUCGCAGCUUUCGCCCAUCUGCCUCUAGAGCGAAAUGACAAGUUGUUAUUUUCUGUUAGCUUGGCCACACCUGCUGAUUCAGCCUGCUUGUUCCAUUUCAGGUGUGAGGGGCACCAGCAGGGAGGGGGCACUGCAUCUUCAGAAACAGCUCUUCCGGAACCCCAGCAUCUCCACGCCGAAGCCUCACUUUAUCUGUUGUAUGACAAUCGCUGCAUCUCCCUCCCAGUCUUAUCUAAUUGUUUGGUUUAUCAUGUGGAAUGUGGAUUGAUUGAUUGGAUGCCUGGGCUAGUUAGGCGUGAGGAGGAGCCUGUGGCUGAGACUGCAUCAGCACAUUCAGCCCAGAUGCUGCAACCCAUCACACCGACAUCCUCGGCCUCUGUUCAGGCCGAUGCAGCGGUAACUCAGGAGGACACCGUUCAUGUCUUGCCGCCACUUCUGCGUUUUCUUUCAUCGUCACCCAUUUGGGGCUUGCGCCGGGGGGACUGGGGAUACGCAUUCUUCUACAUCAGGAUUGAUCUCAAGGGAUCUUUCCACACGUUCAUGGAUCAACCUGGGAUGUCUCAAGUGGAUAAAGUCGUACGCCAAUGUCUCUACUGGCCUGAUGGCACAAGGAAGAAGUUGAUUGAUGAAAGGCGUGACUGGAUGCGCCAAUUGGAUCCCACAUACGAACUCAAAGAUGUAGUGUGCUUCGAGUCUGUUCAUGGGCCCAAUGACCAUACUAGGCUGUACCAUCAUAUUAAUUUCACUGCAAAGACUAAAGGAGCCGAUGAUGAUUCUAACUGUGGCAUCGAGGAUCUAUUCUUCGCUGAACUCAUGUGGGAGCGAGGUGAACGUAUAGAAUUGGUGGUCAGCUGUUUCUGCGUGCUUAAACCAACCGACAACGGUCGCUGCGAUGCUUGUGAUGCGAAGCACCCCAAUGAUGCCGCAUACACUCAUCAAAUAAGCCCAUUGGGUGAAUAUGCUAAGCUUGGUAACAUUGUGUAUGUGGGCUAUGACGAAGACUUGAAGGAGGAGGAAGAAAGAGUAAGACGUUACUACGAGUCACCAAUUAAUUGGCAUUCCCACGGUUGGCACGACAGCACCGGCGCAAUCCAAACAAACCCCCUCCUCCGAAAGUGGUCAAGGAUUACGACCAUCUCCUACUCGUCGAGCCACCGUGGCUGCAGUCGCCGGUUCCCCGUCCCCGCAUCACCGUCCGACAACAUGCCACCCCCUCCUCCGGGUAGUCGCGGGCGCGGGCGCGGCCGCGGGGUCGGAUCCCCCGUCGCCAACCCCGUGGCAACCAGUCUCGGCACUCGCGGCCACCACCUUCCGCUCCACCCCGUACUGCACUUUGAUGUCCCCAUCAUCAACGGGCGAGUGAUCGUUUCCGUCGAUUCGCAUGGGCUACUCGCCGCCGCAGCCCGUUCCGGCUUGGACGACGGGCCGAUGGUCUUCGUAGACAUAGACAUGGACGGGAACUUCCUCACGGACCAUCGUGUUCCCGGCGAGCCCCUCGAAAGCAAUCCGCGCCGCCACGGGCGCACCAGAGUUGCAGCCGCCGGCCGCCCACCUCGUCGGCAGCCGCCGCCCCGGCGCGCCACCACCUGCUUGGCCCGCUGUGACAUGCUGCGCUCUGCACUGGCACUUGCAGCGCAAAAUCAGGCGUUCGAGCGUGUCGGCAUCGCCAUCGAGAGCACUCCGCCGUCGACCACACCCAGCCUCCAAACGAACUGUUGCGGCGGCUUCGGGAUUCCAUUGGGCUGCGUUAUGCGUACAUACACGAAGCGGACGCCGCCUAAUCCCGCGAGGCCGAGCUUCAGCGAGCCCUCGCACAUGACCGCUCCGUCGAGUACGAUCUCUUGCGCGCCGCGCCCCAUCCCGCUUCGGCAAGGCCGAGCUCCAGCGCGCCCGCGCCCCUGCCCGCUCGGCGCGGCCGAGCUCGAUUUGAUCGGGAGGUCGAGCGCCAGACCUCGCCGUCGCCUCCAGCAGCUUCGCAUCAACACCCCGGUGCCGCAUGGCAUCUUUAUGACGAGCCCUGCAACCUCCUACUACUUCCCGUCGUCGCCCUGCUCCGGCAGCAGCCGCCGCGCCCCAAGCCAUCGUCCUCGAUUUCCCCUGCCACCUCUGCGUCGACUACAAGCUCCUGGUGAGCUCCUCCUUCCCCUUCUCCCGCUCUCCUGUGUCUCUUGGCAAGCACCAGUGGCUGGGACGACGCCGGCGAGGGCACCGGUGUGUGAGAAGGAGGAGGAAGAUCAUGUGGCCGAGCCUGCGUGCGCACGAACAAUGCAAGAGCAGGACCUCUCGUCCUUGGAGGACCUGCUCAACGCUACAACAUUGGAGGAAUCGGCGUCCUAG